CGGCACUCCAGAUGUUUUGGACUACACCUCCCAUGGUGCUUUGCCAGCAUUAUGGGGGAUGUAGUCCAAAACAUCUGGAGUGCAG
Non-coding RNA from Pelobates cultripes (western spadefoot toad), 85 nucleotides. Lineage: Eukaryota; Metazoa; Chordata; Amphibia; Anura; Pelobatidae. The record is from the annotation of a GenBank genome assembly.